RNAcentral lists this long non-coding RNA (8106 nucleotides) under Sus scrofa (pig). RNAcentral's name for it is "lncRNA (ENSSSCG00015056268.1)". Lineage: Eukaryota; Metazoa; Chordata; Mammalia; Artiodactyla; Suidae. The record is from RNAcentral.
UUUUUUUUUUUUUUUUGCUUUUUGCUUUUUGCUUUUUAGGGCCACACCCACAGCAUAUGGAGGUUCCCAGGCUAGGGUUUGAAUCAGAGCUGUAGCUGCUGGCAUUACACCACAGCGUCUGUGACCUACACCACAGCCUGCGGCAAUGCCGGAUCCUCAACCCACUGAACAAGGCCAGGGAUCAAACCUGCGUCCUCACGGAUGCUGAUCAAAUUCGUUAACCACUGAGCCACACUAGGAACUCCAGCUCUUUGGAGACGAGGGAUAACUAACUGGUGAACUAUUUCUCUUGCUGACAAAACAGCAACAAUUAUUUAUAAUUUCUAUCACUGGUAUUGCUAAAUCUGGCUGAAAUCAUCCUGAGGUGAGAACAGUAUUGUUAUUUUGUUGGAGUUUUUAGGAAAAUUAGAGUUACUGACCAAAAAACCUGGCAAAGCCUUUGUUAAUCAAAUACCUCAAAACUUUUUACACAGUAGGCUAGCUUCUUGAUUUUGCUGGACUUUACUGUGGAUGCACAGAUGUCACUGUCAUCCUCAGUCCUAGAAUGUCCUUGAAAUACAUGGUCUAUUUAUAAACCCAGGAGAAUAUCUGUAGGAUUUCUACUGUGAACUACUGAAGGGGGAGGGAAAAAAAGGCAAACACAGCUUUGGCCCGCAAUUCACAUGUGAAAUCUUUAAGGCAAAGACAAGGAUCGAGUCAUUUUCGGCAUAUAUAGAAAUAGAUUUUACUCCUUGGGGGUAAUGUCAGUAUAAAUGGAAAACAAUUUAGUUGAAACUAGACAAUAAAUUCAUUCCGUUCAGUGGAAAUUAGGUACCAAAAUACACCAUCCCAUAUAGAAAUCAGAUACUGCGCACUGCUCCAAGCAUAUGACUUCUCUAUGGAAAAUAAAAGAGAUUUUCGUGCAAUUAAAAACAGUGGUAUUUAUUGGUCCUGCAAGAACGUGAUAGGAAGUGUACAGAUUCUGAAGCUCCUUUUUUCUUCAUGGCUUCUGGAUAUGACAGUAGAGUGUUAAUAUUUCUUUUGAUCCUUUUUCAAUGGAGAGGAUACUUACUUCCUUCUACCUGAAAGUAGGGUGUUGAGCAAUACUUAGAAGAGGACAACUGAAAUAACUUUAAAGGCAUGAUGCCCAGAAAGCUUACCACAUGGGUUUUCAACACCUGUGCUCUUUAAUGCCCAAGGGAGGUUCUUCUAAAAUACUUGAGUUACUCUCACACUAAUUAAGCUAAACACAAUUGAGUUUAUCUUAGGAGAUACGGUUGCAUAUAAAGGACAGGUGAGAUGAGUGUUUAUUAGCAGAUAUUUGUUUGAGUUUUUUAACAAAUAUGAUUACCCUUGAUACUUACAAUAGUAUGUUCAGUUGAAGACACUAAGUCUCAGGAUCUAAGUUUCCACCUGGAAUCAAAACUUGGGAGUGUUCUUUCCACUAUACGCAGAACAUGACAAAGUGUUGUCUGAAGUGUAUUCUCAGAUAGAGGCAUAAGAGAGAAACACAUAAUGUGUAGGUAUGCCUUGUCUACCUUUUUUGCCAGCUUUGUUUGUGUUGUAGGCCUUUGUUAUACAAAAAUCUGCACCCGGAGAGAAAGAGGACUUUUGAGGGUGAUGGUGGGGCAGAAAAGAAAAAACAAGGAGCCCAGCAUGCUUUCAUUGACUCAGGAAAGGGCACAGCACUGUUGCUGAGGGAGAGACUAAUUGAGUUUGAGAGCGUGCAGGAAUCAGGGUGGGGACGCGGAGAAGAGCCCAAAGAAAGCUUUGGCGAGUUUGCAGAGAGAGUUGCAGAGUCUGGUGGGCGGAGAGGGAUGGACCUGCCAAGUGCUUCAGAUUCUGAAAAUGCAGAAAAGGGCGUUUUAGAGACUGGUGCAUUAGAUCCCAUUUUAGCUUUUAAAUGUUUGUCGAGAGACUUGACCAAACAUCUCAAUUGCUGACUGCAUUUUGGAUUGGAGUUUUCCUCCAAGCGCACAUUGCCAGGCCUGGCCCUUGGGGAGCUGGAACCCAUGUGGGUUACAUUGUGUCUUUAAAACUCGAUACACACACUCCUAACCUUUGUACAUAUAUGUAUAUAGUUAUCUGUAUGUAAAUAUAUGUUAUGUCUUUAUAUGUACACAUGGAAAAUACAAGUGUAUAUGUAUAUAUUUAUGUGAUUUAUACAGAUAUUUGUUUUACACAAAUAAACACCACCGACUUCUCACAGUGUUGGCAGUGUCGUAUUGUUUAGAACAGGCUUUUCAAACCACUUUACAUUUUUCUGAAUUUGGAGGGGAGAUGGUGCCAACAAGUGGAACCCCUGAAAGGAGAUGGGGUUAUGUCCUGACAGGGGAACGCCUCAGUGGAAUCUGGGAUGCCUGCUGCUGCUGUUUGGACUUCCUUCCUUGCCGUAUAUUGAGGAAAUGUAGAGGAGAAAGAUUUGGAAGAGAUAAAGCAUUAAGAGUAGCAAUCAGCUUGGGUGUGUCUUCAGAAGAAAACCGAGAAUCUAAGAAUACAUCAGAGUCUGUUGGUGGGCAGCCUUCAUGUACUAGAACACGCCUGAUCUGAACAAUGAAAACAUUUGCAUUUUCAACAUGGUACCCCUUUGGGGAGUUAUUUGGCUUUCCACGGUGUAUUGAUUGCAAUACCCAGAAUUCUAGAUGCGUUCAGAUGGGUUGCUAAGGGUUAACUCCUGGCAGCAUGGUGUGUUAUGUUAAUGAUGUAGUUAGAAACUGAAGAUUAGUAAACUGUAGCAAUAAAAUAAGCAGGGUCAUUCGACCCAUUAGGACGAACUGCGAAGGAAUAUAGCUGGUUUUAAUUUGUUGAGGGAAUCUCUUAAAGGUUGAUGCUGUGUGGGCUGCUUUUUUCAAUAGGUUCAUAUAGUUUUUCUAGCUAUGCUGUUCCAGAUUUAAGCUUUACAGAAAAGCAGCUUUUGUCCCUAUGUUAAGAUAAGCAGAGUCCACAGAGAAAAUUCAGGUUGCCUCUGUGCAGUGUAGAGAGUUCCUCUUCUUUCUUUCUUUCUUUUGGUCUUUUUAGGGCCGCACCUGCUGCAUAUGGAGGUUCCCAGGCUAGGGGUCAAUUUGGAGCUGUAGCUGCCAGCCUACACCAUAGCCACAGCAACAGGGGAUCCGAGCCACGUGUGCAACCUACACCACAGCUCACAGCAACGCCAGAUCCUUAACCCCCUGGGUGAGGCCAGGGAUCGAACCCGUGUCAUCAUGGAUACUAGUCAGGUUUGUUACCGCUGAGCCACAACAGGAACUCCUAGAGAGAUCAGACUCUUGAGUCAUGACAGUACAGUCAGUGCUAUUACAGGGAUCAGCAAGUUUUCUGGGGUAUUGAUCUCCUUUGUGGGUAAUCAUUCUAAAAUUUUCAUGAUUAAUUCUUGAAAUUCUUGGCUCAAACUCCAGUUAGGAGCUUUCAGCAUGAGAGUUCUUAAAGGACCACAAGAACUUAUUCUAUGAAUCAUCCAUCAAUUGUGAGGGUUUUUAAAGUGACCCUUUGGCAUCUGGGGGCCUCAUUUUUACCUGGGCUGCAUUUCUGGGGUAGUUAUGAGGACUUCCGUUGGCUCUUGAAUACCAGGAAGACCUACUCUGUGAGUUAGUACCCACAGUGUGGUUGUAGGGCACCCCUUUAACUUGUGGAUUGUGUUCUCCAGAAUCUGAUUGGUUUUCAGAAGAGUUAAACCCACCGUCUAUUCAGAGGUAAUGGUGUGUUUCAGACUUUGGGACUUCGGCAGCACAACUCAAAACAGAGGAAUUAAGAGUAAAUCAAGCAACAUUAAAGAGUCUAAUAGGAGUGGGGUUUAGAGCACAUCCGUGGAAAAGCUCAAUAGCAAAUUAGGGUUCCCUUAACAAUUCCGAGGUUCUGGCAGGAGAAAUCCAGUGUCUGGCCAAACUCAGGAUCAGGUGGUCGCAAACAAGUCCAUGGUGAAUAAUUCUUUCGCUGGCAGUCUCUUUUUUUUCUGGUUAUGAUUGUUAAGUAGCUCUCUAAAUAUUCUCUUUGUAUUGAGUCAAGGACUUGAGUCGGAACAAGCUCGAAUCCUGUGUAGUUUACAUCCCAGGGUCUGUGUUUAUUUUUCAUCAAGCAUUAAAAUGUAUCAUGUAUUAACAGUGUUAAUAUAGUUCUUUAUAAGAAGUCUUGUACAUGGGAGUUCCCAUCGUGGCACAGUGGUUGACAAAUCUGACUAGGAACCAUGAGGUUGUGGGUUCAAUCCCUGGACUUGCUCAGUGGGUUAAGGAUCCGGCAUUGCCAUGAGCUGUGGUAUAGGUUGCAGACGUGGCUCGGAUCCCACAUUGCUGUGGCUGUACAGCUCUGAUUAGACUUCUAGUGUGGGAAUCUCCACAUGCCGUGGGAAGUGGCCCUAGGAAAGACAAAAGAUUAAAAAAAAAAAAAAAAAAGUCUUAUACAAUCCAAGGGGAUGAGUUGAGUUGAUGGGCAUUUAGGUAGUUUUUCUUCAUUGCAGAAGGAGGGACUGAGUUUUUCCAGAAGCGAUUUAAGAGAGAGAGCAGGAGAAAUAGCUGUAGAUGGAAUGUAGACAUUCUAGAGAUGGAAUUUCAAGGUAGAAACAUGUUGCCAUGGAAACAAAGGUUUGAGUAGGAGUAAGAAGAAGUAAGAGUUGCAGAGGGAAGUAUAUUUGGAAAAAUGAAGGAAGGAAAAAUAAGUUUGCACUUUAACUCACUUAUAAUUGUGUUUGCCAAGUCAGACUCACUUUUGUACUACCCUCCUGGUCCUUUUCCCUCACAGUUUGUGUGUAAAGUAUACAUCCAUGUAUAUGUUUAACCAGCCUAAGCGCUUAAGGAUUAACUGCUCUUUUCCUGGAUUCAGCUUUUUUUUAACUAGACUAAGCCCUUAAAAUGUAAAUAAAGGUCAGGUAUCAUGUGUUUUUCAUUUCCUGCUGUGCCUCCACAAUGGAAAAGCUCAACCCAUGUUGGAUGAAUAGUUUCCAUUUAAUUUCAGUAGUGCCUUCUGAAUACCUGUUGUGGGCAGGGCCUUGUCCUAGACGCUGUAGUCAUAUCAAGGACUUAAUCUGUAAUCUCUGCCAUGAGGAGCGUUGACACUCAGAAAGCAGAAUGAGGUUGUAGCAGGAAGUUUAAGAGUAGUUAAUGUGUGUCUGUCACUUAUAUGCUAGAUUUAGCACUUUGCAUCCAUUAUUUCAUGUAAUUCUCCGGGCAGACCUAGAGGGUUAGAUAUUAUUAGCCUCCUCUUCCUUAAAGAAACUGAAUCUCAAAUAAGAUAUGCCAAUCAUUGUGAUAACUACAAGUGGAAGCCCAGGUCCACCUUGGUGCCUGGGGAAAACCAAAGCAAGUCUCUUGCGUAUACCUCUGUGUUGCCGUCGUAUAUGUGUGUGAGCAGCGGGUGUGGGCAAGUGCAAACAUACGGAGUUUUAAGAAUAGGAAGAGAUGUCUGAGCAUGGAGUGAUGAUAGCUAAUUUAGGAGAUCUGGAAAAACCCCAAAGGGGUAAUAACUGAUACAGACCUUGAAGAGGUCGGAGAGGAAUCAUUCGCUGUAGAAGGAACAGCACCAGGAAUGGUGUUAAGGUUUAUUAGAAUAUGAUGUGUAUUGACCAUUUGAAUAACACUUUUUAAAAAAAUAAUCAUUUUGGGGGACUUCCUUCUUGGCUCAGCAGUUAAUGAACCUGACUAGGAUCCAUGAGGAUAUGGGUUUGAUCCUUGGCCUCGCUCAGUGGGUUAAGGAUCUGGUGAUGCUGUGAACUGCGGUAUAGGUCGCAGAUGUGGCUCAGAACUUGCAUUGCUAUGUCUGUGGCAUACCCCGGCGGCUGUAGCUCUCAUUUAACCCCUAGUCCGGGAACUUCCAUGUGCUUUUGGGUCCCCCCCCCAAAAAAAUCAUUUUUCUAGCAUAUGAAUUGGACACUAAGAAAAUGGAGGGUUUUACCAAGGCAGGGCCCAUCAGACACUUGGUAUGCAACCCAUGCCAGGCCUCGGAUGGUGUAGUUUUGAUGAUGCUUAUUCAAAUUUGGACAGUAGUUAGUUACAGAGUUUCAUUUAAAUACAUGACCAUUGUUUGAUUUAGUUGGAUAUAGUAGUGGCCCAAGGAAAACCAACGUACAUGUUCCAGCCAUCAAAAUAAUUGUUCACAAAAUUUUAUUGCUUUGACGGUGUGUUAAUUGCUUUGAUGAUGUGUUCAUUGGGAGACAGUUGAAAUGAACAAUUAAAGGAAAACAAUUAUAUCAUUAUAAGUUCUCAAAGCCAGUCCUUGGAGUUAGAAUCUAGGAUAUUAACAGCAGGAUGCAGAUACCUUGCUUCCUCAUCUCCUGUUUCUUUGUGAAAGAUUAAUAUAUUAAUUUAUGUAAUCGCAGUCUGUCACUAAUGCUUCUGCGUCAUCACCCCCAUACAUCCAAGUCCCGUGACUGUACUUAAGCUUUCAUUUACAAGGUUACUUGCACCACAUUCUCACUAAAUUCAUCAUGAAGGUUGAACUGGUUCUUAUUUAAGUAUGAUGAUUGCUAUUUUAUAGGCAGAGAAUAGGAGGCAAAGACAUUGACAGUGUAUAUUUGCAUUGAUGAGAAAACGUUGUACUUAGAGGCCUGUGUUCAAUGUAAUGACAUUAAUUGCAUUCUUGAUUUUCUAAAAAAUUUGGGGGUUCUUGGAUGGUUUAAGGGUAGAUUCUUGCAGAGGAGAUAAUAUGUUGGGGCUCUUUUUCCAUAAGUAGGUAAAGAUCUUGACCAGAUGUUUGAUAGCUUUGGUCCUUGUGAUCUAUGCCAGUUCUGGAAUUCAAGAAGUCUAUAGCUUAAUUAGUUGUUAGUUCUGGAACUAUACAACAUUUUAGCCAUUAUGUCACAUAAAAUGUCAAAUUAUAGUGUCAAGUUUAAAUACAAUUUGAAAAACCUUUUGUGUGUGUAAGUAACAGAUCUUCACCAAAUUGGAAUCCUGGUUAUUUGCCUGUGUCACACAGAAUUUAUAUAUAUGUAUUUUUAGCUUUUUAGGGCCGCAAAUUUGGUAUAUGAAAGUUCUCAGGCUAUGGGGAGAAUUGCAGCUGUAGCUGCUGGCCUACACCACAGCCACAGCAGUGCAGGAUCUGAGCCACAUCUGCAACCUACAUCACAGCUCAUGGCGACGCCAGGUCCUCACCUACCGAGUGAGGCCAGGGAUUGAACCCACAUCCUCAUGGAUACUAGUGCAGUUCGUAACCCACUCAGCCACAAUGGGAACUCCUAUACUUUUUAAUUACAGUAGCCACAUCAUUCUAAACAUUGUCUCAAAAUCUAUGCAGAUCAACAAGAACAGGGAAAACUGUAAAACCCCAUGCUUUAGGUAGACUAGGAUGACAGAACACUACACACUUCAAAUUAUCUGCAGUAGGAAGGUAAAUACCAGCUUCUGGAAAAGAUAUUUCUUAUUUUCCGUCUCAAGCCUUUGUGGAGAACUGGGCUUUUGGACAAUAUUAGACAGAAAAGCGAAGAUGUAAUUGAGCUGAAAUCAACCAUCAAGAGAGAAAAUCAAUCCUAAAUUCAAAAAUAUGAAAAAGAGGCCUGGGUAGUUCAGAGCAUUGACUGCAGGAGGAAGAACCACGCAAGCAGCCAAACAGGCAGUCUGGAAAAGGCAGCGCAUCCUGGAAGAAGGAAUGAGAGGCUGACUAAUGGCCUCUAAGCAUGUCCAUGUCAGCAUCCGUGGAGCCUUUCAAUCUGACAUGGUUUUCUGAACCAGGGACUUUGCAGAUGUUAUUAUAUUAAGGAUCUUAUUAUAUAAGGGGAAGUUAUCUUUGAUUAUCUGGGUGGGCUCUAAGCGAAACGAUGAAUGUCUUUAUUAGGGGGAGGCAGGUUGGGGUUCGAUGGCAGAGGAGAAGGCAGUGUGAGGACAUGGAACUGAGAUUGGAGCUGUGCAGCCACCAGAAUGUAGAAGACUAAGAGCAAAUUCUCACCUGGAGCCUCCCCAGAAGGAAACAGCUCUGCCAACACCUUGAUUUUAGCUGCAUGUGACUUCUUUGUAAACUUUUGGUUUUCAGAACUAUGGAUUGCUGUUGUUUUUAAGCCUUUAAAUUUCUGAGAAUUUGUUAUAGCAUCGAAAGGAAACUAAUACAGAGAUUAAAUGAAAGUUACCUUUGGAAACUCUCUGGUGAAAGCAUGAAGAAGCAGGGGGGAAUUUAGGAUCCUGAAAGACAUGAAACACCGAAAAAAAAAAAAAA